AGAGUUUGAUCAUGGCUCAGAUUGAACGCUGGCGGCAGGCCUAACACAUGCAAGUCGAGCGGAGAUGAGGUGCUUGCAUCUUAUCUUAGCGGCGGACGGGUGAGUAAUGCUUAGGAAUCUGCCUAUUAGUGGGGGACAACAUUCCGAAAGGAAUGCUAAUACCGCAUACGUCCUACGGGAGAAAGCAGGGGAUCUUCGGACCUUGCGCUAAUAGAUGAGCCUAAGUCGGAUUAGCUAGUUGGUGGGGUAAAGGCCUACCAAGGCGACGAUCUGUAGCGGGUCUGAGGGGAUGAUCCGCCACACUGGGACUGAGACACGGCCCAGACUCCUACGGGAGGCAGCAGUGGGGAAUAUUGGACAAUGGGGGGAACCCUGAUCCAGCCAUGCCGCGUGUGUGAAGAAGGCCUUAUGGUUGUAAAGCACUUUAAGCGAGGAGGAAGGUUCGUCACCUAAUACGUGACGGAAUUGACGUUACUCGCAGAAUAAGCACCGGCUAACUACGUGCCAGCAGCCGCGGUAAUACGUAGGGUGCAAGCGUUAAUCGGAAUUACUGGGCGUAAAGCGUGCGCAGGCGGUUGUGUAAGACAGGUGUGAAAUCCCCGGGCUUAACCUGGGAACUGCAUUCAAAACUGCACGGCUAGAGUACGGGAGAGGGGGGUAGAAUUCCAGGUGUAGCGGUGAAAUGCGUAGAGAUCUGGAGGAAUACCGAUGGCGAAGGC
Molecule: ribosomal RNA, 719 nt
Filed under: uncultured Moraxellaceae bacterium
Lineage: Bacteria; Pseudomonadati; Pseudomonadota; Gammaproteobacteria; Moraxellales; Moraxellaceae
Description: bacterial SSU rRNA
Rfam family: Bacterial small subunit ribosomal RNA
Source: RNAcentral